AUGAACCCCUUCUGCGAGAUUGCCGUGGAGGAGGCACUGCGGUUCCGCGAGGCCGGCGCCGCCUCCGAGGUCGUCGCAGCCAUCGUCGGUCCCGCGCAGGCCGCCGACACGCUCCGCACUGCGCUUGCCAUGGGCGCCGACCGCGCCGUCCACGUCCUCCACGACCCCGACCCCGACCCCGCCGCCCGCUCCUCCCGCUCGCUGUUGCCGAGAUUCUCCGCGCCCUCGCGCUCCAGGACACCCCCGACCUCCUCAUCCUCGGCAAGCAGCUCCUCGACCCCAUCCCGUCCGCGGCGGUGA
RNAcentral lists this ribosomal RNA (300 nucleotides) under Triticum aestivum (bread wheat). Its description in RNAcentral is "partial small subunit ribosomal RNA". The record is from RNAcentral. Lineage: Eukaryota; Viridiplantae; Streptophyta; Magnoliopsida; Poales; Poaceae.